GCGAUGUACGGACGGUACGGUAAAUAGGACACACCAGGCCCUCUGGUGCUGCUGUCAUGCUGUUGUUCUGGCGAGGAAGGGCGACAGGGCCGCGGCACUCACGUUUGCCCGUCAGCCCGUGGGUCUAUCUGUCAAGUGGAUUUAUUUUUUUUAGCGAAUCUGUGCAGUGGAUGGGAGCCAUGGAACGCAACUGCGGAUUGAAGAAGAGAGACCAGAUUGGCUAGAAAUAGCUGGGCCGGCACAGGGUCGGGCCUAAAACAAUUAAUCAGAUGGAACUUAUUGGUUAAGUUUAGCUCAUUUGGGCUUCUUGAUUAGGUUUUUUUUUUAGGGGAGGCUUCUUGAUUAGGUAUGGAUUCAAUAGCCGCAUGCAGAGCA
RNAcentral lists this long non-coding RNA (375 nucleotides) under Brachypodium distachyon (stiff brome). RNAcentral describes it as "long non-coding RNA (BDIS_LNC001928)". The record is from RNAcentral. Lineage: Eukaryota; Viridiplantae; Streptophyta; Magnoliopsida; Poales; Poaceae.